CAGCCGCCGCGGUAAUUCGGAGGGUGCAAGCGUUGUUCGGAAUUAUUGGGCGUAAAGCGCGUGUAGGCGGGAAGGCAGGUCAGGUGUGAAAUCCCUUGGCUUAACCAAGGAACUGCAUCUGAAACCAUUUUCCUCGAGUACGAUAGGGGAGGGCGGAAUUCCCAGUGUAGAGGUGAAAUUCAUAGAUAUUGGGAGGAACACCAGUGGCGAAGGCGACCCUCUGGAUCGAUACUGACGCUGAGACGCGAAAGCGUGGGUAGCAAACAGGAUUAGAUACCCUGGUAGUCCACGCUGUAAACGAUGUGCACUAGGUGUUGGAGGUACUUAAUCCUCCAGUGCCGCAGCUAACGCAUUAAGUGCACCGCCUGGGGAAUACGGCCGCAAGGUUAAAACUCAAAGGAAUUGACGG
Molecule: ribosomal RNA, 409 nt
Filed under: uncultured bacterium
Lineage: Bacteria
Description: bacterial SSU rRNA
Rfam family: Bacterial small subunit ribosomal RNA
Source: RNAcentral